GACGUAGGGCGCGAGCGUUGUCCGGAUUUAUUGGGCGUAAAGAGCUCGUAGGCGGCUUGUCGCGUCGUCCGUGAAAACCUGCGGCUCAACUGCAGGCUUGCGGUCGAUACGGGCAGGCUGGAGUUCGGUAGGGGAGACUGGAAUUCCUGGUGUAGCGGUGAAAUGCGUAGAUAUCUGGAGGAACACCGGUGGCGAAGGCGGGCCUCUGGGCAGUAACUGACGCUGAGGAGCGAAAGCGUGGGGAGCGAACAGG
Molecule: ribosomal RNA, 253 nt
Filed under: uncultured bacterium
Lineage: Bacteria
Description: partial 16S ribosomal RNA
Rfam family: Bacterial small subunit ribosomal RNA
Source: RNAcentral